GUGGAUUGGAAUAUCUUUCUCCAUGUAGCAGUAUUAUCAAAGAUUUAGAAUGGAAAAGGCAAUUAGUAAUUGCCCACAGUGUAGAGAACUCUAUCCGAGUAGUUUACCCAAAACAAGUCAUUAUAUAAGAUGUGGUUUGCCAUUGACUUAACAUUGUGGUCAUGUUGUUUGCUAUCAAUGUAUAGUUUCUAAAAGAUCUCACCCCAAACAUCAUGGCACUGUAUCCUCUAAUAAUGGCACUGACUCCACCACUAUCAGAUGUGCAGUCUGUAAAUUUGUGUCUGUUAUUCCACACGAGGCUGUUCAAAAUGUACUGGGAGUUAUCAAUUGCUACCAAUUGGGCCUGAUUCAGCUGGAUGAGCUGGUGAUCAAUAUGGCAGUGGAAAACAUUGGCUUAAAAGAUGGAUCUAGAGGAUUAUUUGUCCCCUGUUGCCCAGAAUUGGUUGUGGAAAGACCCCGGCUGCUUAAUUCCCCAGGAUAAUGCCCCAUUCACAACACCUCAAUAGACUUCUGCAUACUACAGCGAUGAACUUCUGUUGUGUGGGCGUUGUAGGAUAUCUUGCCAUCUUGUCCAUGAUCUUGUCAGGUUGUUAGACAGGAACAAAGAGGAGCUAGAACGUUUCUAUGAGGUGGCUGAUGAAGCGGUGAAAUUGGUCGGCAAUAUGAAGAAAACAUGCAGUUACAUCUAAGGUCAAUCUGAGCAGAACGACCUAGGCCUACUCAUCAAA
This is a long non-coding RNA of Daphnia pulicaria, 728 nucleotides long. RefSeq lists it as uncharacterized. The record is from RefSeq and is a predicted model, not a curated record. Lineage: Eukaryota; Metazoa; Arthropoda; Branchiopoda; Diplostraca; Daphniidae. The transcript is spliced from 3 exons.